UACGUAGGGCGCAAGCGUUAUCCGGAAUUAUUGGGCGUAAAGAGCUCGUAGGCGGUUUGUCGCGUCUGCCGUGAAAGUCCGGGGCUCAACUCCGGAUCUGCGGUGGGUACGGGCAGACUAGAGUGAUGUAGGGGAGACUGGAAUUCCUGGUGUAGCGGUGAAAUGCGCAGAUAUCAGGAGGAACACCGAUGGCGAAGGCAGGUCUCUGGGCAUUAACUGACGCUGAGGAGCGAAAGCAUGGGGAGUGAACAGG
RNAcentral lists this ribosomal RNA (253 nucleotides) under uncultured bacterium. RNAcentral describes it as "partial 16S ribosomal RNA". It matches the Rfam family "Bacterial small subunit ribosomal RNA", at positions 524 to 776 of the family's 1533-position model. The record is from RNAcentral.